RNAcentral lists this non-coding RNA (29 nucleotides) under Mus musculus (house mouse). Lineage: Eukaryota; Metazoa; Chordata; Mammalia; Rodentia; Muridae. The record is from RNAcentral.
UGGGCAGAUGUGUUCAAGGGCUUUCUAUA